RNAcentral lists this long non-coding RNA (587 nucleotides) under Trifolium pratense (red clover). RNAcentral's name for it is "long non-coding RNA (TPRA_LNC014191)". The record is from RNAcentral. Lineage: Eukaryota; Viridiplantae; Streptophyta; Magnoliopsida; Fabales; Fabaceae.
AAUUGUUUAGCAAAAUAUGAUGAUUUAAUGACUAUAUUGUCACUAAAUCAUCAUAUUUUGUUUAAAUUCUAUAAUCUAUUGUUCCUAAACAUUACCCUAUUGCUACAUUUCAUACGGGUGCCUCCGUAUUGAGUCAAAAUUGCGGAACAAUUAUUGAAAGAGACAAUAAUACCAAUAUUGUAAUCACAUCGCUCAAUUUAGCACGGGCUUGUGAUGAAACUGACUUUCGUAAAAAUGAUUUGGUAGAUGAUUUAAAGGUGUUUAUUUUAUUUUAUGAUUUGUAUUCUUACUGUAUGAGUAUUAUUUUGUUUAGGGUAUAAUGUAGUUUAAUAUUAUUUUGAAGGUGGUUGUUUAUGCUAGUGAUGGUAGUUGGUAUCUGGGAGAAAUAAUUUUUUCGGCAAUUUGGCUGUUGUCAAGUUCCGUUCUAAAAGAUUUUUUGAGCCGGCAAAGUUAUCCAUGAUUGAUGACGCUAGUGUUUCGGAAACUGAUUCUCUUCAUUGUCAUUCAAGCAAAUUAAAACAUGGUGAUACCGUAAUUGUAGUUGGUCGUUAUUUUCAAGGGGCAAAUGAAUAUAUGGCCACUCCGGG